Folsomia candida is the source of this 882-nucleotide long non-coding RNA. RefSeq lists it as uncharacterized. The transcript has 4 exons. The record is from RefSeq and is a predicted model, not a curated record. NCBI's taxonomy places the organism in Eukaryota, Metazoa, Arthropoda, Collembola, Entomobryomorpha, Isotomidae.
ACAAAAUUACGCUGCUGCUGAUCUCCUCUUUUCUCAUAAAGUUGGAGAAGAAUUAAUGCCAUUGCAAUGAAGCUGGAGGAGAGACAUUAAGCAACGCGAGUCGUCUCAUUUCCAGCCCAGAGCGGAGGCAGUUCCACGACCACUGUGUCAAAGGGAGGAUAAGAGGAGAGAGGAAAAUGAACAGCGUGUUUGGUAAUUAUGACAUGGGAUGACCCACGCAUCUUGACGAGACAUUGCGAUCGAGGAAAGUGCCGGUCGUCGGUGGCUCGGCGCAAAUGAGAGGAAACAUUUUAAGAACAAUAAUGGAAACGCUCACAGCAUAAAUGGAAUGGAUAUCUGAUCAGGUCCACGGAAAUUCGGAGGAAACCGGGUCGUCGUCUGGGUAUAAGGAUGAAAAAAAGAAGGGAAAGUCAAACAGUGCAGUCGUGUCCCAACCAAAUUAACAUUGACUAUUGUAUCAGCCAACGUCGUAAGUAUGUGCUACUGACUUUCCAGCCGAGGAGAUAAUACCUGGGGACGAGUAGAUUGUGAUUGCAUUUUUACCCAUAAGGCAUUGUAAAAUAGAGGACAAUUUGAUUCAGUGUGCUUCUCCUCCAUUUUUACCGAAAGGAGAAUUUAUGUGGACUGUCUUAAUUGAUUGAUUUUGUUUUGAGAGGAUUCCUUUCCUUUCCUGUUUGCUUUGUUUCUACUUAAACGAAAACCACUACCGUCUUGAUUCCCUCGCUGGGAAUUAAUUUCGUAAUGCUUACCUUCCUUCCCGUUUUGUAUUAAGUUAACUCUGUAAUUUAAUUUACAACUACAUUUGUCCUACGACACAACCAAACGAUUGUAACAGAUAUGUAAUAGUAAGCUUAUUUGGAGGGACCCUACUUUAGGGACUCC